Molecule: non-coding RNA, 238 nt
Organism: Hydra vulgaris (swiftwater hydra)
Lineage: Eukaryota; Metazoa; Cnidaria; Hydrozoa; Anthoathecata; Hydridae
Source: RefSeq, a predicted model, not a curated record
CUUGUCGUGUAUGGAUUUCCCAUUAUUUAAUUUUAGUAUCUAACUUUUGUGCUACACCUGUUCUUUCUAUGUGUGCUACGCCUGUUACAUCUUCAGCUGUCACGUCAAUUCCAUCUAUACCACCUUCAAACAGUAAAUUUAUGAAUCUGGAAUGUCUCUGAUUGAUUAUUGAGUUCCUCUUAUUCCUAUUUACAUAAUCUAUUUAAUACUUUUGUGUUUUGUUAUAUGAAGCUAAUAG